UUAAUACCGCAUGUGGUCGUAAGACCAAAGCCGGGGCAACCUGGCGCUUUUGGAGGAGCUCGUGGCCUAUCAGCUAGUUGGUAAGGUAACGGCUUACCAAGGCAACGACGGGUAGCUGGUCUGAGAGGACGACCAGCCACACUGGAACUGAGAUACGGUCCAGACACCUACGGGUGGCAGCAGUCGAGAAUUUUUCUCAAUGGGGGAAACCCUGAAGGAGCGACGCCGCGUGGAGGAUGAAUGCUUUCGGGUUGUAAACUCCUGUCAUUUGGGAACAAGGCCUUACGUUACUGCGUGGAGGAUUGAUAGUACCAGAAGAGGAAGAGACGGCUAACUCUGUGCCAGCAGCCGCGGUAAUACAGAGGUCUCGAGCGUUGUUCGGAUUCAUUGGGCGUAAAGGGCGCGUAGGCGGCGGGGUAAGUCUGGUGUGAAAUCUAGGAGCUCAACUCCUAAACUGCACUGGAUACUACUCUGCUAGAGGACUGGAGAGGAGACUGGAAUUCACGGUGUAGCAGUGAAAUGCGUAGAUAUCGUGAGGAAGACCAGUAGCGAAGGCGGGUCUCUGGACAGUUCCUGACGCUGAGACGCGAAGGCCAGGGGAGCAAACG
This 608-nucleotide ribosomal RNA is filed under the name uncultured bacterium. RNAcentral describes it as "bacterial SSU rRNA". It matches the Rfam family "Bacterial small subunit ribosomal RNA", at positions 163 to 774 of the family's 1533-position model. The record is from RNAcentral.